CAGCAGCCGCGGUAACACGUAGGAGGCGAACGUUAUCCGGAUUUACUGGGCGUAAAGCGCGUGUAGGUGGUUUGGUAAGUAGGGCGUGAAAGCUCCUGGCUCAACUGGGAGAGGCCGUUCUAAACUGCCGAACUAGAGGAUGGUAGAGGGAGGUGGAAUUCCGGGUGUAGCGGUGGAAUGCGCAGAUAUCCGGAGGAACACCAGUGGCGAAAGCGGCCUCCUGGACCACUCCUGACACUCAGACGCGAAAGCUAGGGUAGCAAACGGGAUUAGAGACCCCGGUAGUCCUAGCCCUAAACGAUGUAGACUUGGCGUCGGUGGUUUAAACGCCAUCGGUGUCGAAGCUAACGCGAUAAGUCUACCGCCUGGGGACUACGGCCGCAAGGUUAAAACUCAAAGGAAUUGACGGGUCCCCGCACAAGCAGCGGAGCGUGUGGUUUAAUUCGUUGCUACACGAAGAACCUUACCUGGGUUUGACAUAGGGGUGGUAGGGAAGCGAAAGCGGACCGACCCUUCGGGGAGCCUCUACAGGAGGUGCAUGGCC
RNAcentral lists this ribosomal RNA (544 nucleotides) under uncultured archaeon. RNAcentral's name for it is "bacterial SSU rRNA". It matches the Rfam family "Bacterial small subunit ribosomal RNA", at positions 509 to 1050 of the family's 1533-position model. The record is from RNAcentral.